Molecule: ribosomal RNA, 440 nt
Filed under: uncultured bacterium
Lineage: Bacteria
Description: partial 16S ribosomal RNA
Rfam family: Bacterial small subunit ribosomal RNA
Source: RNAcentral
CCUACGGGAGGCAGCAGUGGGGGAUAUUGCACCAUGGGGGGAACCCUGAUGCAGCGACGCCGCGUGGGUGAAGAAGCGCCUCGGCGCGUAAAGCCCUGUCAGCAGGGAAGAAAAUGACGGUACCUGAAGAAGAAGCCCCGGCUAACUACGUGCCAGCAGCCGCGGUAAUACGUAGGGGGCAAGCGUUAUCCGGAUUUACUGGGUGUAAAGGGGGCGCAGACGGCGAUGCAAGCCAGGAGUGAAAGCCCGGGGGCCAACCCCGGGACUGCUCUUGGAACUGCGUGGCUGGAGUGCAGGAGGGGCAGGCGGAAUUCCUGGUGUAGCGGUGAAAUGCGUAGAUAUCAGGAGGAACACCGGUGGCGAAGGCGGCCUGCUGGACUGCAACUGACGUUGAGGCCCGAAAGCGUGGGGAGCAAACAGGAUUAGAUACCCCUGUAGUC